CCAAUAGCGUAUAUUAAAGUUGUUGCAGUUAAAAAGCUCGUAGUUGAACUUCGGGGUUUACCCAUUGGUCAGGCUUAAUUGUCUGCACUGGUGAGAUGAAUCUCUACCUUCUGAGGAACUUUCAUGCCAUUUAUUUGGUGUGAUGGGAAAUCAGGACUGUUACUUUGAAAAAAUUAGAGUGUUUAAAGCAGGCUAACGUCUGAAUACAUUAGCAUGGAAUAAUGAAAUAGGACGGACUGAUUCUAUUUCGUUGGUUUCUAGGAUCACCGUAAUGAUUAAUAGGGAUAGUUGGGGGCAUUAGUAUUCAAUUGUCAGAGGUGAAAUUCUUGGAUUUAUUGAAGACUAACUACUGCGAAAGCAUUUGUCAAGGAUGUUUUCAUUAAUCAAGAACGAAAGUUAGGGGAUCGAAGACGAUCAGAUACCGUCGUAGUCUUAACCAUAAACUAUGCCGACUAGGGAUCGGACGAAGUUAAUUUUAUAAUGACGCGUUCGGCACCUUACG
Molecule: ribosomal RNA, 502 nt
Filed under: uncultured Glomeromycotina
Lineage: Eukaryota; Fungi; Glomeromycota
Description: partial small subunit ribosomal RNA
Rfam family: Eukaryotic small subunit ribosomal RNA
Source: RNAcentral